AUGGGAGGGUCGAAGUUGGGGGUCGUGGCCUCGCGACAUCUGGCCAGGGUUUGGCGAGAAAUCGAGCCUGUGCUCUGGCUUGGAGCAACUGCUGGCUUGUGCUGGGCAGCGUGGAGAUACUACCAAUCCUGCGCCUGCCUCCGCAGCUACGGCCGGAAGAUGGGGGCGUUAUCCGAGGGCGAGGGCGAUCCAGUGAUCGGACGCGACAAGGAGAUUGACAGGGUCAUAUGCAUUCUCUGCCGCCGGACCAAGAACUGCGCCGCGCUCGUCGGGGAGGCAGGGGUCGGCAAGACGGCCAUCAUUGAGGGCCUCACCCAGCGCAUUGCCAGCGGGAAAGUCCCUGCGAGCCUUGCCGGAGCGCGUGUGGUAGAGGUCGACCUCGGAGCCAUGCUGGCCGGGACUAGUCUCCGUGGCAUGUUUGAGGAGCGCAUCAAGGACGUGAUAAAGAGCGCAGAGGACGGGGAUGGCAAGGUGAUCCUCUUCAUCGACGAGAUGCACAUGCUUCUUGGUGCCGGCGACGAUGUAGGUGGCACGGACGCCGCCAACCUGCUGAAGCCGGCGCUGGCCCGUGGCCGCAUCCGCUGUGUCGGCGCCACCACCCUCAAAGAGUACCACAGGUAUAUUCAGCCGGAUGCCGCACUCGAGCGCCGGUUCCAAAAGGUUCAUGUCAAGGAGCCGAGCGUGCAGGCGACCGUCACCAUUCUGCAAGGGCUUAAACAGCGGUACCAAGACCACCAUGGCUUGGAAAUUCAGGACGCUGCUCUGGUUGCUGCCGCAGAGCUCGCCGGCCGCUAUAUCACCGAUCGCCAUUUUCCUGAUAAGGCAAUUGAUCUAAUUGAUGAGGCAUGCGCUACCGCAAGGAUGCUGCUCGACAACGAAAAUGAAGCAACCGGUGGCACCAUGACGCGGAUUUACAACAAAAAAGAAGCGACUGCACAAAGUAGAUCUAUAAAUGCAGUGAAGAAAGGAAUUGUUGAUCCGAGUCAGGUCGCACAGGUUGUGAGCCUGUGGACUGGAAUUCCUGUCGCUGCUAUUGAUCAAGAGGAGAAGGAGAAAUUACUACACCUAGCAGACAAAUUGCACGAGCGAGUUGUUGGCCAGGAUGAGGCGGUCAAUUUGGUUGCACAGACAGUCCUACGUUCCAGAAUCGGCCUUGAUCAGCCGGGCCAACCAAUAGGUUCUUUUCUAUUUUUGGGCUCGACUGGUGUUGGAAAGACUGAGCUUGCAAAAGCUCUUGCCGAGCAGCUAUUUGACAAUGAAAAUAUGUUGGUUCGCUUUGACAUGUCCGAAUAUGGUACGAAGGGAUCUGUGUUGCGCCUCAUUGGAGCACCUCCAAGCUAUUAUGGUUAUGACGAUGGAGGGCAACUGACUGAAAAAGUCAAGAAGCACCCAUACAGUGUCAUCCUGUUUGAUGAGGUGGAGAAGGCGCAUCGCUCGGUGUACAAUAUUUUUCUUCAACUCCUUGAUGAUGGUUUGUUGACUGAUGGCAAAGGCCAGACAGUAGAUUUCAAGAACACUCUCAUCAUUAUGACCUCAAAUCUUGGGUCAAAGCACCUUGCAGCAGGAAUGGUUGGAGAGAACACAAUGCAAGAAACACACAAGCUUGUAAUGAAAGAGGUUCGGAAACGCUUCAAGCCCGAGCUUCUCAACAGGCUGAGUGAGAUUGUGAUAUUUGAGCCACUUUCACACGACAAACUGAAGGAGAUUGUGAAAAUCCAGAUGAAGGGCGCUGCUGCCAGAGUAGCUAAGAAGGGCAUCUCUCUACACGCGAGUGAUGCUACAUUGGAUGUUAUCUUGUCAGAGUCAUACGAGCCAAUGUACGGUGCAAGGCCUAUUAAAAGGUGGAUACAGAAGAAUGUGAUGAACACCAUCUGUGAGAUGCUUGUCAAAGGAGAAGUUGGCGAAGGCUCAACAAUCUCCAUUGAUGCCGCCGACCACAACAAGGGGCUCAAGUAUGAAGUGGUGAAGAAGGCGGCAGAUCCUUCCCGCAACAUCUUGGUCCCAGCACCAGAGCCUCUUGCUUGCCCCGACGAGGAAACCGAUGAUUCGGUCAUGGUCACUUCAUUGACAAAGUGUCUUGGAUAG
Molecule: ribosomal RNA, 2085 nt
Filed under: Triticum aestivum (bread wheat)
Lineage: Eukaryota; Viridiplantae; Streptophyta; Magnoliopsida; Poales; Poaceae
Description: partial small subunit ribosomal RNA
Source: RNAcentral